RNAcentral lists this microRNA (22 nucleotides) under Monopterus albus (swamp eel). RNAcentral describes it as "Mal-Mir-219-P2b_5p (mature (guide))". Lineage: Eukaryota; Metazoa; Chordata; Actinopteri; Synbranchiformes; Synbranchidae. The record is from RNAcentral.
UGAUUGUCCAAACGCAAUUCUG